RNAcentral lists this long non-coding RNA (296 nucleotides) under Hordeum vulgare. RNAcentral's name for it is "long non-coding RNA (HVUL_LNC002872)". Lineage: Eukaryota; Viridiplantae; Streptophyta; Magnoliopsida; Poales; Poaceae. The record is from RNAcentral.
GCUGCCGCUGUCCGCAUCGCCCUCGGCGCCAUCGAUGCACCUGUUGGCCGCAUACAGCGUGCCGUGCCGUGUCGGGAUGCGACGGAGACGCGAGCGUGCCGUGGCUGCUCAAGUCCGGGGCCGCGAUCGGCGUGGGUUCCCUCGUUCCUGCAGCGGCUCCUCGCGGUGGGACGCGCCGGCUGCUCUGCUCUGCAGUGCCGCCAACGGUGACCGCGACGGACAAGGACGGUUUCCCGGUCGCCGGGUAGUCCCCGGGUUUUCCGGUUUAUUACGGUGCCCGUGACAAUGAUUGGCCG